AUGCACGCUGGCGGCGUGCCUAAUACAUGCCAGUCGAGCGAACAGACGAGGAGCUUGCUCCUCUGACGUUAGCGGCGGACGGGUGAGUAACACGUGGAUAACCUACCUAUAAGACUGGGAUAACUUCGGGAGACCGGAGCUAAUACCGGAUAAUAUAUUGAACCGCAUGGUUCAAUAGUGAAAGACGGUUUUGCUGUCACUUAUAGAUGGAUCCGCGCCGCAUUAGCUAGUUGGUAAGGUAACGGCUUACCAAGGCAACGAUGCGUAGCCGACCUGAGAGGGUGAUCGGCCACACUGGAACUGAGACACGGUCCAGACUCCUACGGGAGGCAGCAGUAGGGAAUCUUCCGCAAUGGGCGAAAGCCUGACGGAGCAACGCCGCGUGAGUGAUGAAGGUCUUCGGAUCGUAAAACUCUGUUAUUAGGGAAGAACAAAUGUGUAAGUAACUAUGCACGUCUUGACGGUACCUAAUCAGAAAGCCACGGCUAACUACGUG
Molecule: ribosomal RNA, 496 nt
Filed under: uncultured bacterium
Lineage: Bacteria
Description: partial 16S ribosomal RNA
Rfam family: Bacterial small subunit ribosomal RNA
Source: RNAcentral